CCUAAACCUAAUUCCAAAUCCCAAAUCCUAAACCCUAACUUAACUCUAAACCUUAAACCCUGACCCCUUAACCCCAAACUCCAAAAUCCUAACUCCAAACCUUAAAUCUUAAACCCCAAACCCUUAACCGCAAAUUCUAAACCUUAAACUUUAAAUCCCAAACUCUUAAUCCUAUCGUUUGGGGCCCGAGGCUGGGCAUGAGGCUGUCAUUGGGCCCGACCCCCUCCCGACACUGAAAAAUUUCAUUCAAAAGAUCAAGUUGUAGAUCUUGAUGAUACAAAUUCAACGCAAAAAACCCCGUCGACAAAUUCCACCCCCAACUCCGGCAAUGUCGAAAAAACAGUCGCGAUCAUUGUUCAUCCGAACUUGGAACAAAUUGCAUGGCACAAAUGAUUAUUUCUCUAGAUCAAUUGGAUUUGAAUCUAAGCAACAUUCCGAUUAGGAAUCAUAGUCCUCAUCUUGAUGUUCAACAAAUCAAAAAUUUGGACAAUUUCACCGUCUCUAUCGCCGGCGAAUUCUGCUAGUGACAAAGACAAAGCACCGCCGUUCCGCCUCGAAAUUGAACCAUCGUCCAGCGAAUUUUGUGGUAGCGCGACCCUUGGGUUUUGUGCGCCAUCUGCUGAUCUAUCAGAUCAAGGAAAUUCAAAGCAGUCUAACGACGAAAACUCUGGCAAACUAUUGUUCAAUGCCGACGCCGGAGCUUCGACCGGCAAAAAUGAAAAAUUCCAACGCCAAAAGAUGCGCACUGAUGAGGCGAACCCAACCAUGCAAAAAUACCCAAUUGUUUCAUCUCAGAACGUAUCCAAUUUGAGUUUGAAAGUUACGCCACCUAGGGUGAUUUUUGACGAAGGCGCCGCCGCUGCCGCAACCGGCCAAUUGGAAAUUGGGUUGGGGGUUCUGAUCGCAAUAUGGACAGCAAUACAAAUACACAAGAAGCCCCAAUUGUUUUGCAACAGGAAAUUAGGGUUUCAAAUCGGCAAAAUUCUAACAAUGCCGGCGAUGGAACUCCGGUCAGUGAUAAUCAAAAUUGCUUGUCAAAUUUGAUUCAGGAGGACAAUGCAUGUAUUUCUCCUCAAGAAAAUCAAAUAGACGAGGCCGGAGCUCUUCUAUUUUCUCUUUUAGGCUUAACGAUGAAGUACAAUUAACCGGAGAUGGUGUUCCGAUGUCUAGAGAGCAUAAUUCACGGUCCAAAAUCUAUCCUAAAGCUAUGGUGAAUGCGGAUACUCCUCAAGGACAUGCAUUGGACCAACAAAAUGGUAAGUUGAAUUCUAACUUGAUUAAUGCUAAUGCUUGUCUGUUUGUGAUGAAAGGAAACAAUGAACUAAUAUUGAUGAGGAACCAACACAAUUCUCAAAGUCCUGAGGACGCAAUCAACAUCACCAAUGCUAAAUUUACGUGUCCGAGGGCUAAACCGAGGGAUGAUCACUUUGCAAAACAUGAUGGAAAACAACAAAAUACAACUGUAUGUCCAACAGGAGAACAACAACUUCAUCAAUCGACGGACACGACAAAUGCAGGAAAAGAAAAGAAGUUGAAGCAACGAAUAAUCUCAAGAACAAAUCAGGGCAAGGAAUCAGCAAUCAGGUAACUAACCAAAAUAAUAACUCUCAACAAGUUAUUACUAAUUUUUCUGCUAGUGUUUCAGUUACCAAAGAAAACCAUCACCAAAAUCAGAAAAUGGAAGAAAAGAAAUAACAAGAGGAGUGGCAAACCCAAAAAAGAAAGAAAUUCAAAGGUUACAACCAAAAUGCUCAAAAGAGCAAUGUAGCAAACUCAACAAGUAUACAAAUCAGUAUCGCCAAGAGCAAAACAAGACAUUGACCAGCAAAAACAACAAGAGCAGCAGACAAGUAUUGACUCAGUGCUCCCAACCCCAUGGUGAUAUUGCAAGUCCCAUCCCCUGUGUAUCCCCCCAAAUAAUGCAGAACAAGUAAACCAAGGAAACAAACAAUGACAUAGGAAAGGGAUCCAAAGGGGGGUUGUAGACCUCAUGCUUUGCAUGGGAAUAGGUUGGUUGACCAUAGGGUGGAAUUUAGAGCCCCUGCUACCACUGCUCAUUUCACUUUUUUUCCUCAAAAUCAUGACAAUAAUAUUACUCAACACAAUGCUUUAGACGAGGUCAAUGUUACAGAUUCAGAUGCUGAAAAUUCUUGUAGUGGUUCAGAUUUGGGUGGUAAUGAUCAGAAUGAUGAGAGUAACUCUGUUCAGAUUUUUGAAAAUGCUGAAGAUCAGUCCAUGUUGUUAUUGAUACUCAGAAUUCAGCUGGUUGUGUUCAGAAUUGUACAUAGAAGGUUGAUAAGUUGAAGGUUACUAAUGCUCAAGGUUUAGAACUAAAGGGUCAGAUGUUGGGUGAUUACUGUAAUACCCCGAGACUCUAACCAAUAGUGUAACCAUGAAUCAAGCUCAUGAGAAAUAAAUUAUAAUGUUUUGGGUUUUUUUCCGAUCAAGAAUGGUGUGUAUUAAGGCCUUAAAUAUGUCCUAACGAUUGGGUGAAUCAAAACAUUCCUUACCGAUUGAAUUCUUAGGAAGAAUAUUGGUAUAGUCAACUUCAAACGAGCAUAUUUCUCAUUAUACUUGGAAUUUUCAAGCUCAUGACCUAUCAAUAGAUAUAUAAUUGAAUUAUCUUUCUAACGAUACCAAUUUCGCUAAAAUAUGAUACCGGAGCAAAGAGUUAUACCCAUUUUACUCCAACAUGUCCAACAUGUCAAUCUGAAAAAGGGUGACGACGUUUCUGAUGGCCUGUCACGUUUCUGACGACAUUUUUGACGACGUCGUCAUGUUUCUGACGACAUUUCUGAUGACAUCGUUAGCGUUAGGCAGAAAAUCAUAAAAUUCGACCAUUUUGUGACGACAUUUCGUGACGGCCUAUCAUGGAUGUAACGGCCUGUCACGGAUGUCGUCAAAUAUUUUUUUCAGUAAUUUAGAGACGUUUUUGCAAGGGUAUUUUGGUCUUUCCCAUAUUUUGGAGGCCUCUAUAAAUAUGAGAAUCCUAUCCAAACCCUAAUUCCAUCAUUUUCUCUACCAAUUCUCUUGAGAUAAUAUAUCUAGGGUUAUAUCAAGAACAUAAAUCUUCCAAGAAUCAUCUAUAAAUCUUCAAAAUUUCUUCAAGAACCAAGUUCCUCAUAGUGUGGGCUUCAAGAAUUAUUUAUUUCAAGUGUGGAUAAAGUCUCAAGCACUAAAGUUCAUCCAAUUUCAAAGAUUAAGGUAUGUGGGGUUUUGAACAAAAACACUUCUUUCGUUCUUGUGCCCAAAGAUUUAAUUUCUAUUGAAUUUCAUGAAUUUUGCAAAGUGGGUUUACACCCAAAUUACUUUAUCAAGGAUUUAUGAGAUUUGAUAUAUACAAGAUUGACACAUAUGAAUGCUUCAUUGUCUUAUUUCUUAAAUUAAGAAUUUAUGUAAUGAGUUGUAUAUUGUUAUUAUGAAAUGAUAAUUUCUAAGUGAUUUAUGAUAAGUGUCAUGAUUUAUGUUUUUCCAUGAGAACUUUGUCUAUUCAAUAUAUAUUGAUAUUGAGCUUGAGAGUCAAGAACGAGUUCUAUGAUGUUUUCUGGAAGAUUUGAUACUUGAUAUGAUUUGAUAAGCAGGUGUACUUGAUGAUGAGAAAGAUUAUUUUGAGAUUUAGUCGAGUUAGGAAUCCACAAGUUGAUUAUGAUUUACAAGUGAGAUAUAUAUUUAUAUUUUGGUCUUCAUGAUAGACCCUUGAGUUGAUUAAGGUGGAUUUCCUAACGCGUUCUGAGCUUAAGUCUAGGAGUAAUAUUUAGCACCGAGCGGGAAGUAUGGAUUCAUCGCAUCCUACUUUCCUAGAAUUACGUGCCACCGUAGGAUUAAGAUUAAGGGCCAAAGGCCAAGACAGUUGUUUUGUGGAAAAUUUUUGACUUUUUGAAGAGUCGCCGCUUAAUUUUGAAAAAGGAAUUAAGAAACCUUUAGAAAGUACUUCAAACGAUUCAAAACAAGAAAAUCGUUUAAGUUAAGAGAUUCUGAAUAAGCGGUUCCUAUUAGCGUUUUAGGAAGGUGUUAGGCACCUAAAACGUCCGCUAACUUGCGAUUAUCCGGACUGUUUGAAAAUCGUCUUUGAUUAACCUUGAAAGAAGUUGAUUUUGAAAAGUGAGUGAUUUUGUCGAAAAGAUUUGUGUAAAAACAGUUUUAGACGACCUAAUAGGGAUUUUGACUAAGUCUACACAAAUUAAAUAAGCAAGUAAACACAUAAACUGGGAAAGAGAGGAGAAAGUAAACGAUUUAGGUCGUUGGGCCCAAACCAACAAAACUUGUCCUAGUCUAAUUGAGCCUUUGACCCAUUUCACCUGUCUGUCCUAAUCUAGUUUUCGAGCCUUUGACUCGAAUCUUGCUCCAUCUGUAUUAAAUACAACUCGAGCCUUUGCCUGAAUGAAUGAACUAAAAAAAUGAAUAAAUAAACAAAUAAAGGCAACAGUAAAUCAAUAAGUAAAUAAAUAGAGACUUUCUAGUCUCUUUUCCGCUUCAAAAAUGGGAUCUUAACCCAUUCUUCUUCUUUCGACUCCUUGUAUUCGCACACUAUGCAACCUUAGACUCACUUCCGGGCUUGACUCAAUGGAUGGGCCUGAUUGUCCCAUUAAGGAAUGCAAAGAGUCCGUUUGGACUCCAACGAAUUCACAUGCAAAUUAAGAAAAAUAAAGGACGCUAAUACAUGACUAAAAAAGGGAAAAAAAUAUAAAAACAACACAUAGGCAAUCAAAGGAAGGAAAUUGAGUUAGUUAACACAUGAUCGAUCAAAGAGAGGAAAAACUAAAAGGAAACUAAUGCGGAUUUUUUUGAAAAUAGCAACGUGGUAUGGAUCUUAAAUAAUCAAAAGCCGAUUAAAAAUAGUAAUACAUGUUCGUAUCAACUCAAUAAAGAAGCAUUAUACGCAAAUCAAUCUUACAUAUCAGCUAAUCCAAAUAUUUCUCAAAAUUCUUCCUAGUUAACUUGAAAUAAUUAUUUGGACAUGCGAAGAUAAAAUGAACAUUAUUUCAAUCUAACCAAAACAUCAUAGAGACUUAAUGUAUGUAAAAAACAACAUAUGUUGACCAGUGGGUUUAUAAGGAAAGAAUCAUUUAAUCACCAUACAAAGUGACUACCAGUUCACUGUUGGCAAAAUUCUUGCAACAUGGUAUGUUAUCAAGAAAAAAAAAGGACUUAGUAUAUUGAAUUAAUUCAAUAUUAAUUAAUAUACUAAGUAAAACAUGACGUGUUCAUACUAGACGGAAGCUUCAAGUUACACCGCACAUAGCAUGUCUCCAAAUGUGAAGUAACACAUUGUUUAGACUUACAUUAGUGAGAAGCCAAUUUGUACUAAAACUUGGGCACAGAUAUCGCACGUAUGAAUUUUGCGUAGACGAAAAGUAAUGACAAAAAUGUAUAGAUUUACUAAUGAAAUACUCAUCAAGCCACUUAGAUUUAAUCGAGGGGACUGAACAAAAACCAUGCAAGAUAAGCAAUAUCAUGAGUUGCAACUCAAAUUUUUAAGCGGUUAUUAUUCAAAUGGUCAGUCUACUGCCUAACGUCGAUUAGAAGAAACGAAGUGAGAUUUAAAAGAAAGGAGAAAUAACAUUCAGACUAAAACAUGACUAUAAAUUUUAAUGCCAAAAGAAAGAGAACUUAAAAGAUGAACUAAAAAUCAUCAAAUCAAGGUUGAUGGAAAUAUCAUCUCAAAACAGCAGUCGUAAUUCGAUCGCAUAACGUAUGGCUCUCAAGGCCUCUACAGCGAAACAAUUCUUCAACACCCAAGG
Molecule: long non-coding RNA, 5741 nt
Organism: Capsicum annuum
Lineage: Eukaryota; Viridiplantae; Streptophyta; Magnoliopsida; Solanales; Solanaceae
Exons: 2
Source: RefSeq, a predicted model, not a curated record